This 501-nucleotide ribosomal RNA is filed under the name uncultured Chloroflexota bacterium. RNAcentral's name for it is "bacterial SSU rRNA". It matches the Rfam family "Bacterial small subunit ribosomal RNA", at positions 355 to 871 of the family's 1533-position model. The record is from RNAcentral. Lineage: Bacteria; Bacillati; Chloroflexota.
UAGGGAAUAUUGCACAAUGGGCGAAAGCCUGAUGCAGCAACGCCGCGUGCGCGAAGAAGGUCUUCGGAUCGUAAAGCGCUUUUCUGGGAGAUGAGAAAGGACAGUAUCCCAGGAAUAAGUCUCGGCUAACUACGUGCCAGCAGCCGCGGUAAAACGUAGGAGGCGAGCGUUAUCCGGAUUCACUGGGCGUAAAGCGCGUGCAGGCGGUUUGGUAAGUUGGGCGUGAAAGCUCCCGGCUCAACUGGGAGAGGUCGUCCAAAACUACCAGACUAGAGAGCGAUAGAGGAAAAUGGAAUUCCCGGUGUAGUGGUGAAAUGCGUAGAUAUCGGGAGGAACACCAGUGGCGAAGGCGAUUUUCUGGAUCGUUUCUGACGCUCAGACGCGAAAGCUAGGGUAGCAAACGGGAUUAGAGACCCCGGUAGUCCUAGCUGUAAACGAUGUGAACUUGGCGUUGGUGGCUUAAACACCAUCAGUGCCGUAGCUAACGCGAUAAGUUCACCG